GAUGAACGCUGGCGGCGUGCCUAAUACAUGCAAGUCGAGCGAACAGACGAGGAGCUUGCUCCUCUGACGUUAGCGGCGGACGGGUGAGUAACACGUGGAUAACCUACCUAUAAGACUGGGAUAACUUCGGGAAACCGGAGCUAAUACCGGAUAAUAUAUUGAACCGCAUGGUUCAAUGGUGAAAGACGGUUUUGCUGUCACUUAUAGAUGGUUCCGCGCCGCAUUAGCUAGUUGGUAAGGUAACGGCUUACCAAGGCAACGAUGCGUAGCCGACCUGAGAGGGUGAUCGGCCACACUGGAACUGAGACACGGUCCAGACUCCUACGGGAGGCAGCAGUAGGGAAUCUUCCGCAAAGGGCGAAAGCUUGACGGAGCAACGCCGCGUGAGUGAUGAAGGUCUUCGGAUCGUAAAACUCUGUUAUUAGGGAAGAACAAAUGUGUAAGUAACUAUGCACGUCUUGACGGUACCUAAUCAGAAAGCCACGGCUAACUACGUG
RNAcentral lists this ribosomal RNA (497 nucleotides) under uncultured bacterium. Its description in RNAcentral is "partial 16S ribosomal RNA". It matches the Rfam family "Bacterial small subunit ribosomal RNA", at positions 28 to 507 of the family's 1533-position model. The record is from RNAcentral.